Molecule: RNA transcript, 7407 nt
Organism: Dunckerocampus dactyliophorus (ringed pipefish)
Lineage: Eukaryota; Metazoa; Chordata; Actinopteri; Syngnathiformes; Syngnathidae
Gene: ccdc146
Gene name: coiled-coil domain containing 146
Exons: 29
Source: RefSeq, a predicted model, not a curated record
CUGCUGAGGAGAGGAGACGUGUGCAUGAAGCUUCUUCAGGUUGCUGUACAUUUUAUAUGUUGUGCACAGGCCAGCGAGUCCGGAUUCUGCAGUCUCACAUAAAAAGACAGCCAGCAUGAAUCACUGUUGGGAUCAGGGAUGCUGUGUUUUCCCAGCCUGUCUAAUCCUCCCACAUAUCAAAAUGACUCUUUAUCUUAUUAACACUGGGUCACGUUGUCAUUGAUUGAAAGUCAUCUUGCUUAUUGCGCCCUGUCUCUGGAAUGUGGACACAACAGAGCAGGGCUGCGCAACUGCCGGCCCGUGGGCCUAAUCCCACUCUUCAAUGACAUCAGACCAGCCUUUGAGAAUGUGCUGCAGGCCAAUAAAUACAGCCGCAGGCCACAAAUGAUCCCUGCACGGCAAUUUGGACACCCCUGGCUUAAAGAUGCCUCAGAACGACAACACAAACAAAAGCUGGCAGGGGUUGCUCACAAGCGACACCGAGGAUGAAGAAUUCAGUGGAUCGAUGGGGAGUGAAGUUGCCGAGGAGGAGGAGGAUGUCUUUCUUGCUAAUAUGGCACCCGAUCCUUCGCUUUUAGAGGAUGAUGUGUCCGCUUGUCCAACUUUUCAACGCCUAGACGAGAUGCUGUCACUCGGUAGAGUCGGCACAGCCAAAGUGGCCAAGUUGAAAGCGAUCUACAGGCAGCUGAGUGAUGCACUGAAGAGUGCCCAGGACUCAGAGCUGCAUCUUUUGGAAGAGACCACAAAGUUCCGUGCCGACCUAAGGAGGCUCCAAGCCGACUUGGUGAGCGCAGAAGAGCCAAGCUCCUCCGAGGAGCCUGUGAGUGAGGCGGGCAGACUGAGGCUUCAGCUCCUGCAGGCGUUCAAUGAGCUGAAAGCAGCUGAGGACAGAGACUACGUGACACAGCACCAGCUCAAGUGUCUCCAGGAAGAGAAGCGGUAUCUGGUGAAGGAGAACAACAUUCAGCACAAACCUGAUGAUAUGGAGAGCACCACAAAGACCCUCCAGGACAAAUGUGAGAAACUUCAAAAGGAGGUGUCCCAAAGACAGGCGGAAGUCAGAAGUCUGAUGGAAGACAUGGCAACCCAUCAAAUGCGGACAUUGCAGGAACAGAAAGAGCUGGAAGACAUGAAGAAAGUCAUUCAACUCAAAGAGGCCGAGAAAGCUCAGCUCCUUGCCGCACCUGAGCAGAUUUUAAAGGAGAUUGGAGGGAAACGCUCCAAGAGGGAAGCCACAAUGAAGAUGCUAAAAGCGAUGGAUGCCGAGGUUUCAGGCAUUAAGCGGCAAGCCAAGGAGGUGGAGGAGCACAAUGGCCUCCUCAGGGCUCAAAAGGAGGAGCUGGCCAAGGAGCUGGAGGGUCUCAAGGCCCAAAUAGAGGCCGGUGAGAGGAAGUGCAGGCAGCUGGAGAACGAGCAGGAGGUCAGCAGGGAAGAGGAGGCGGAGCUAAUGGGGCACAGGGGGAUCCUAGAAAUGAAGUUGCAGAGUAUCAUGUGCGAGCGAAAGCUCCUCUACGAGAGUCAAUCUGUGCAGCUCAAAGAGAAAAAAAGGCAGAUGCAAGCCUUCAGCAGGAUGGAGCGUGGACUGGCCAUGGCCACCGAGCAGCUCAAACACACGCAAUCGACCUGCAGCGACUUACAAGCACAGUUAGGUGCUCUUCUGAGAAGAGGGGCCAGCGUUGCGCAAAGGAUGGCUCUUCAGAAGGAAGUGGAUGCUCUCAAAGUCAGCUUUGAAAAACAGUUACCAAAAAGCAAAGAAGCGAGCCAGAAGCAGCAGCAGUAUGGGAUCAUUCAGGAGCUGCUGAGGGAAUCAGAUGGCCUGAGACAAGAACUGCAUCACCUCCGCUGUCUCACGUACAUUAAAGCAGAGGAAAGGGGCCACAAGCACCGUGAGAUGAUAAGAGCUGAGCAAAUGAACCAACACAUCCGACAGGAACUGCAAGAGAAGGAGCUCAUCAUGAUGCACCACAGCAAGCUGAGUGCUAUGCUGCAGCGCAGAGUGCUACAGUACGGCGGACUUUGCGACGCGAUCACCGAGGAGAAGAAUAAGUAUGUCAAGCUCAAGCAGAUUGCCUCACAGAGGCUCACGGAGUUACUGGAGCAAGUGAAGGUGCUUGAAAAUGAGCUGGAGAUCCAAAAAAGUAUCGCUACCAGGAAGGACAGGUUCCUGACUAAAGUUCAUAUGAAGAUUUCUAAAAGCUGCAAAAUGAAGGAUAAAUUACACAACAACAUCAACAAGGUUGCUUGGCAGAGCCGUCAGGUUGAUCAGGAGCGUGAGGACAACGAAGUGGAGUUACGGAGGCUCAGGCAAAUGAUCAGCCACCAGGAGCAAAUGCUUCUCGAUAUGAACAAGAACCAGGAAGGAACCGUACAGCGGCGCAAUCUGUUAGGCAUCCAGCUGUUGGAGCACGAGGAGGUCUUGUUCGACUACCAGGAGAAGGUGAACAUGCAGGAGGUGGCCAUCAAUGAAGGCACCGUGGCACUGGAGAACCUGGAGAAGGAGAUGAGAGACUUAAAGGUGGCCAUCAGAGAGGUGACGAGACAGAUCGGCUUCAAGAGGAAAGAGGUGCUGGUCCAGAAGAAACUGGAAGAACAGAUUACUAUGCUGCAGAUAGAGUUGCUGGAGGCCCGAGAUCAGACGCUUGAUCAUCUAAUGCAAACCGCAGAUUACAAAGAGCUAAAAGGCUCCGACCCUUCGUCUUCUGACCUGGUCAGGAAGGUUGAGAAGCUGGAGGCCAACCUUGCCGAAAGGGAGAGGCAGCUUUUGGAGAAAGAGCUCCUGGUGGACCAGGUGACCCGGCUCUUGAAGCCCCUCCAAGAGCAGAACGACAAUUGCCAGCAAGACAGACUGUCAUUGGCCAAGAAGUUGAACGAGCUGCGGACACGCAUCAUUGACGCCAGCCGCCGUCUGAUGGCCACGUCUGCAGAACUGUCAAUGAAGCAGGCUGCCACCCUGUGCCUCCAGCGGGAAAUCAAAGAAAAACAGCUCCAGAUGGACAGGAGUCACAGGCGGCUGGAGCAAGGCCUGCCACCCUGCCCAGAAAUGGAGGAGGAGUGGAGGAGGAUGCUCCAGGACAAGAAGAGGAGACAGAGAGACAAAGAGGAGCGAGAGAGGAUGGCGGAUGAAGGCGAGUGGAACCUGUUGCCUAACGGUCAGCUCACUACGGCAGAGAUACGGCCUGAUGCCUACAUCCCCCAGACGGACGAACUCCCUCUGCCCAAGCCCUAUGGAGCACAGGCCCCCUUCAAGCCCACCCAAGCAGGUGCCAACAUGAGACAUAUACGCAAACCAACGCAACUCAAACCCUUGGAGCUGUCGUGAAAAUGCAAACAAAAUUUUGAAUAGCAUAAAUUCCGCUGUCUUCCCAUUAUUGUACCUCCCUUGUCCUCCUCGCAGAGCAUACUUCCUCUAAUUGCUUCAUGGCAGCAUCUGGUUGCAAUCUCGUUCACUGUUUUUUACGUUAACAGGGAAUAGCUUCUUUGUACAAAACACAAAAUGACACAUUUUUGGAAUAUUUUAUAUCUUUUUUUUUUCUUUUUUUAGUCUGGUUUUAUAUAUCCCUGGCACUGCUAAUGUCGCCAUCUAUGAAUACAUUGCAGCGGCUUUAAGCUGCGAGCUUCCAGUGCCAGCUUAAACCCUGAAAGGAGAAAUGUAAAUAUCAGACAAUGACAAAGAAAGGCGGCACAGUUGAACGAAAGGUAGGUGGAGAGGAGGCAAUGUCGCGGCAAAUGAAGUAAGUCGACUCUAAAUAUACACUUUAUUCCGUUUCUCUUCAUAGGUUUUUUUUUUUUUUUUUAGGUCAUUGAAAUGCUGUUGCACAUCAGUGAUUCACAACUUUUAUGUCUGUACUUACUUAGAUAGUUACCGGGGGUGGAGUACUUGGUAUUUGGUUCUAAUUGGGUGAUUGGGUGUAGUUGUAAAACAUUAAAACCAGACAGACUAUUCUGGGAAGUAAUGGGUAGAUUAAGCUAAGCAAAUGCUAAUAUUAAAGAUAAAACUGAAACAUUUAACUAUUAGUCAGCAAUUUUAGAUGGAUUACGAAAUAAAAUAACACAUGUUAAACUAGAAAAGCACUCGGAGAGCACAGACCUCUGCCAAGCGCCAUAGUUACCCCCAUAUUGUGAUUUACACCAUAAAUAUUAGACCUGCAUUUAUUUUAUCAACAUAUUUAGAUUCCUUGACCAUGAAAAUAUAAUGAUUCAUAAUGAUAUCAAUAGAAAUUCUGUAGUUAUUAAAAAAAAUGACAUUUUCUGUCAUGGUGGUUUUCUUCUGGAUGUACAGAAGCUCCAUAACUUUUGAAGACAACAAGACAACAACACACUCCAGAUUCCACGGUGUCUUGGCUAUAUAUACUGGUGUUUGUUGCAUGUGUAAAGCUUCAUUUGCUGUCUUCCUAUGAUGAAAAUUCCAAAGGCCCCUAUUUUUUUUCUAAUUUUGGAUCAUAGUAUCCGGAAUGACUCCAUUAUCUGGAUAUUGAUAUUUUCUAGAACCUGUUGGAAACUUGUCCUGUUUUUUUUUUCCAAGUGCUCUGAUCAUUUUUUGUGGCGUUAUAUGCACAAAACCCGAAAAUGGUCCUAUCGCGCAAUGUUAAAGAAUCCUUUAAAAAAUUCCUGGAUCUAGACGGUGAUUCGGAUCACCCCCAAAAUGUAAUCAGUUCUUCCAUAUCCCAUUUCUGAGAAUUCCUGAAAAUUUUAUCCAAAUCCAUUCACAACUUUUCAAGUUAUUUUGAACACAAACAAACAGACAAACACCGGCAAAAACAUAACCUCUGCACUGCACUUGCGCUUUGCGCUGGAAAUAAAUUAAAUAUAAAAAAUUGCUCUGGCCCCGAGCUGGAGGAUCUGAUUGAUUGUCUGUCAAGACACGGGACGAUCCUCGGGUCCGAAUGAAGGUUGUUACUGGUGCCGAGUGCAGUCCAAUAACCGUCAGACUGCAUCUGUAAGAGAAUGGUUUUAAGAUCUUCAAAGGCCGCAAAAUUGCUUGUUUGGAAUUUGCACGAGCGCACCAAACAUGGCACAUUGAAAGUCUUGUGUGUCUCAUUAAUAACAAAUGAUUUGUACAUUUACAAUAUGCUGAAGGCCUGCAAAAAACAAACUAAACAAGCCAAAAAUGAUCACCUUGGACACCCUUGAGCUCACAUAUUCAAGGACCGGAAGUUCCUUUCCUAUGGUACUGUAUAAAAGAGCAGUGGUAUGUGUGAUCAUCCAUUGCUGGCAGUUGCUGAGAGCUGUCAGUUUCAUUUAGCACCAAACUCUUCAGGCCUCAUUAACCAGCUACAUAACACGCACCGGUCGAGGCCAGCCACCGCCAAGGCUGGAAUUCCCGAUUCCAAAACAGCAAUUUCUGGAAAAAUGCUUGGCAUGAAUGCGGAUUUCAUGGCUGUAAGACUCAGCUUGCACAAUGAUGAUGAUGAUGACUGUCACUGAGAUCAUUUCCUGACUGCUGAGUCUGUGCUAAACCAAUAUUUGACGAAACCAGAAGAAAAAAAGCAUCCGGGGGCGUUACCAUGCAACCCUUUUUGAGCGCUAAUUGGAAUCAUAUUAACAGAAAAAAAAACUCACUGCAAACGACGCAUAAAAGUACAAGUCCCUUUUUAUUCAAAAGCUGGAUAGAAUGUGUUGUAUUUCACACAAAAACCCCCUUACCGCUCACUUACAGUGAAAAAGGCUAAGUCACAUGAUGAAAACCAAGCCAGAACUUUGUAUGCACGUCUUCUUUUCAUCUCCCUUUCAGUUCCUUUUGUUUGACGCUUCUCCCCUUCUGCAUUUGGCAGGCUUAUUACAAUGUGUUCUGCAAAUAAAUCACUGUAUAAUGAAGCCCUGUUGUUCUCUUCCCUCAUUACAUCAAACCCAAUGCGAAUAUUGGAACAGUGUGUUACAAUGCCACGAUAACAGGAAAUGUCAGAACUGUCACGAUCGGGAAAUGGACCCCUCACAUUGACCAAAUUUGGAUGUAGCGGUAAAACCCCUGACUGUAGCAAAUGAAGCAAGGACGUCUUUUAUUGUUCGUGACUUAUCUUAACACAAAAUGUGUUAUUUCUUUUCUUUUGCUCUGCAGAAGCCCAUCUUUUACUGCCCUUAACCUUAAAAGCAGGACCCCAUAUGAUUUCCCACAUCGCUGACCAAAUGACAGUCACUUAAUCUUCAAAAAUAUUACCUUUUCAUCUUCCAUCUUAUAGAUCCCUCGAGUGUAUCCCCCGCUCUCUACUAUCUCCUCAUUUAGAUUUGCUCUGAAGUGAUAAUUGCGUCCGGUUUUAAAGCGUCCCCUGCUCGUCUGCAAGCAUGUGUGUGUCGGCUUGUGGCGUGUAUGGAUUGGCUUAUAAAUGCCGUCUCACCUCAAAUAGUAAGCAGCCUCCGCUCAAAUAGAUACCGGUCUGCGUUAAGAAAUAAGCGCCAGACUGCAAAUUCAGAAUUUUAUAAAUAUAGAAUUUUACUAUCAUUGUUUAUUUGUGGAGGAAUAUAUGAAAUAUUAUUUAAUAGCACUUCAGUUACCAGUACAUGCCUUUUAAAAUGAUAUGAUAUGUAAAAUAUUUAAUAUUACUUCAAUUAAGUGUUAGUAUUGUGGGAAAACUUAUAUAAUACAUAAAAUCUUAUUUCAUAAUACUUAGUCAUAUCAUGAUUUACUUGUGGAAAUGUGAUGUAUAUAAAAUAUUUAAUUUGUUGAAAAUAUUGGUUAACACUUUAGUAUUUAAAAAAUGCAUUCGUACAAACACCGUCAAUGCCUGGUACUCUCUGGAGUUGAGUGAAUAAACACGACAAUGUUCUUGCUGUUGAUAUAUUGCCGUAGAAUAUGGAGAAUUUGUGGCUGUUCAGGGCUGUAGAAUUCUAUUCCGUUAUUGAUUUUUGCUUUCCCAACUUAAAUGAAAGUGUCAAAAGUUUUCCCUUUCAUACAAACGUCUCUCUUCAGCCUUUCCUUGUCGUCCAACAGCCUCCAUCCAUCACGUCUUUGUCAUUUUCCCUCAAAGCCCAGCAGAAUCAGUGUCUGUUUCAGAGCCGUCUUCUCCACAAACGUGGCGUCUAUGUUCUCCUGCUCGUCGAAGGGGUUCAGAGCUGGUGCACAGUGGAGGGAGGAGGGAGCUUAUGUGGGUGGAGGUUGCCAUAUUUCUGACAUAAUCUCUGGAGAUGGAAGCCGAACUGACGGGAUGAUCCCACAUGUGGCCGAUGAGCACCCUCUGGCGGUGGUCUUCCUCUUGGAAAAGCGGCACCAGCUUCCUGUCUCGAGGGGACGCUGAGGAAAAAAAGGAAACAAUUGACGCGUCUGGAGUUUGAGGUGGAGCGCACCUGGAAGGCGUGCCAGAUCGUAGAAUCUGCAUCAAGUAGGCGGGGUUUAGCUGGACACCAUAGAUAGUCCCGCUGGAUAGGUCCAACACGGCCGUGCUGGACUCCUCCUCCUCUGCGUGCACCACUGUC